AUGCAAAUGCAAAUAUUUAUUUUUGUUAGAAUAUAUUAAUAGUAAAUCACUGAGUGACAUAGAAGGUUUUUAUUAGCCUCGUAGAUUUAAGGCAAUAUUGUUGAAACUUUGCACAAGCUAAAUCAAACCAGCCGAACCUUAUAUACAUAUGUAUAUGUGCCAAUUAGCAACAAAUCUUAAUAAUGGAAUUUAAAUUUUCAUUUCCAAUGUCACAAAACACACAAACAUAGCGUAAAUGACAAUAAAAUUGCUUUUAUUUUUUGGGGUUAUUUUAUUUAAAUUAACUCGUUUUUAGUAUUAAACCAUUCUUUUUAGAUUGAUUUUAUAAAAAAUGUGGGUUUUUAAUUUUUCAUUUCGUAUAUGAAUAUUCAUGUAAUUCACUCGGGUCAAGCUUUUAUAAUUGGUUUCUUUUUUAUAUAGCAUAAUUUAUAAUGAAACAUUCAAAAGUAGUAAUGCAAGAUAAAUUCGAGAUAUGUAUACACAGCUGCUAUCAUUAGAGAUCAUUUGAAAAUAUUUAAAAUCUAUUUUAGUUCGAUUUAAUUUAUAUUUAUUUUGGCAAUUUUGAGAUAUAAUAUUAUAUUUCUCUUUCACCAAAAAAACUAACUUACAAUUACAUAUAUAUUAAAGUUUGUGAAGGGCAGUGUAUUUUUAAGCCAAACUUUGGAAAAUUUGUAAUCACGCUCUAAGCAAGUUUGCUCGACUCUAUGCUCUUUAUUAUGUCAUCAUAAUACGAUUGACGAACACACAUAUCAAAGCAGUGCAUACUAUAAGCGUAUAAAUUUCAUUGAGUGACUUUCUGAGCACAAUUUUUUUUAACAAAUGGGUUUUACUCUGCUUAUCGAUCGCUUUGCAAUGUAAGAGCACGGAGCAGUAUAUAGUAAACGAAUCGGGGUAUAUAUCUUUAUUUACUCAAUUUGUAUGUGUUUAUUUUUAUCAAAACACGAUAUGCAGAUGCAACACUGAUUAGUCUAAUUUUAUUUGUUUUAUUUAUAUCAUUAAACAUAUGUAUAAUAUACAACAAUUUUUUUUUUUAUAUAAACUGACAUUAUUUAUAAAUCUAAUCUCAAAUGUGAAUGACUUUCAGCUGAAUUACUCUUACCACUUCACUUUUUCCUCUGAGGAUUUGUAUUUCUGUUUUCUUACGAUUCAAUUUUUUCCUAUUCUGUUUUAAUUGACUAAAAGGAGACCAUUAGUAAAACAGUGCCGACUCUGGUGAGGCAUAAUUGAUGCCCAGCAUCAAUCGGUGACUUUAUAAUCUCUAUAAAAUUGGGGUGUUCAGAGAAUAUAAGAAAUAGAACUACUAUUUUGCCAUACACAUUUUUGGAUAAAUAAACUUGCAAAAAAGCACAAGAAAAGCGAAUUAUGGUUAUGUUAAUAUUUGUAGCUUGGCUUGUUAUGUUAGAUUUCUACAGUAUUAAUGUGGAUAGUAAUGAUUUCUGAACACAAUUCAAUUCUUUUAUUUGAAUGCAGCCAAAUUCACAAAUAACGAAUAAUUACGUUUAGUAUUUUUAAACCCGCUACCCAUAGGGUAAAAGGUUAUUCUAACUUUGUGCCGGCAGCAAAUGUAUGUAACAGGUAGAAAGAGGUAUCUUCGACGCUAUAAAGUAAAUAUAUUUUUGAUCAGCGUUUGCUUUAUCUCGCACUGUCUAUAGAAUGACUGAGAUUCUUCCGUUUAUUUUGCGAUGCUUCUAGUUUCUCUUUUUUUCUUUUCACUUUUAUAAACUUGUCAAAUUUUGUGUCUGUUUAAAAAUUGUCAGCUUCGUAGUUGACUGACCGACAUACUAUAAACCUUGGUGUUUUUUUUUAAUUUUUUAUAUUUGGUGAAAUGUGAUCCAGAAAAAUUAAAGACAACAUAAAUUUCUAAUUUAGAUCAAAUGUUUGGAUACAUAUUAAGACCAGCGCUAUUCCUAAGAGAAGCAAUUUUGAAGAAUAUUAUCUGGCAACUGAUUGCAAAUGGAAAUCAAGUUAAAACAUAAAAAAAUUUUGUAACCUAAAAAAAUGAUUGUAAUAAAUUUAAUAAAUUAAAUUUUUACAACAAAAAAAAGUUUGUUUUUUAAUUAUGACUCGAAAUAAUACUCAAGUAUAUGUAAGCCUGAAUUGUUAUUAAAACGAGUCAUACAUAAUCUCUCUAAAUUCAAUAAAAUAAAAUACUAUCGCAGAAAUGACAUCAGUACGAUGAAAUUGAGACAACAACCUUGUGCGUUCCUUCACAAUGGUUAGUAUGCCAACCAUCUCUGACAGGUUGCAUCUUCAGAUCUUUAUCGGUCCUACGGCUGUAUGGGUUUGAUAGUACAGGUUUUGCAGUACGGAUGUGAAACACUUAUUGUUGAUUAUACAAUGGAGGUUGUUUGCUUUUAGUUUCAGUUGUGUUUGUGUUCAAAUAAUUAUAUUCUUAGUUUUCUAGUUGUUGGUAUGUAGUGGUAAUGUUGGUCCUAAGCUGCUGCCUUGUGAAACUCCAGUUACAAUCGUAUAAUCACCGGAGUUGAAUCUCACUGUAAAUUUCAUAUCUUAGAGAUAAGACUAGAAAAUAUUGUAAGUGUUAUUUACCUUGUUU
Drosophila nasuta is the source of this 2554-nucleotide long non-coding RNA. RefSeq lists it as uncharacterized. The record is from RefSeq and is a predicted model, not a curated record. NCBI's taxonomy places the organism in Eukaryota, Metazoa, Arthropoda, Insecta, Diptera, Drosophilidae. The transcript has 2 exons.